GGUUAAGCGACUAAGCGUACACGGUGGAUGCCCUGGCAGUCAGAGGCGAUGAAGGGCGUGCUAAUCUGCGAUAAGCGCCGGUAAGGUGAUAUGAACCGUUAUAACCGGCGAUACCCGAAUGGGGAAACCCAGUGUGACUCGUCACACUAUCAUUAACUGAAUCCAUAGGUUAAUGAGGCGAACCGGGGGAACUGAAACAUCUAAGUACCCCGAGGAAAAGAAAUCAACCGAGAUUCCCCCAGUAGCGGCGAGCGAACGGGGAGGAGCCCAGAGCCUGAAUCAGCAUGUGUGUUAGUGGAAGCGUCUGGAAAGGCGCGCGAUACAGGGUGACAGCCCCGUACACAAAAGCGCAUGUGCUGUGAGCUCGAUGAGUAGGGCGGGACACGUGGUAUCCUGUCUGAAUAUGGGGGGACCAUCCUCCAAGGCUAAAUACUCCUGACUGACCGAUAGUGAACCAGUACCGUGAGGGAAAGGCGAAAAGAACCCCGGCGAGGGGAGUGAAAAAGAACCUGAAACCGUGUACGUACAAGCAGUGGGAGCACAGGUUUACCUGUGUGACUGCGUACCUUUUGUAUAAUGGGUCAGCGACUUAUAUUCUGUAGCAAGGUUAACCGUAUAGGGGAGC
This 625-nucleotide ribosomal RNA is filed under the name Salmonella enterica. RNAcentral's name for it is "partial 23S ribosomal RNA". It matches the Rfam family "Bacterial large subunit ribosomal RNA", at positions 1 to 666 of the family's 2925-position model. RNAcentral also lists the same sequence under 1 other name. Lineage: Bacteria; Pseudomonadati; Pseudomonadota; Gammaproteobacteria; Enterobacterales; Enterobacteriaceae. The record is from RNAcentral.